RNAcentral lists this unclassified non-coding RNA (429 nucleotides) under Senecio candidans. RNAcentral describes it as "partial contains external transcribed spacer and 18S ribosomal RNA". The stretch from base 368 to 429 matches the Rfam family "Eukaryotic small subunit ribosomal RNA", at positions 1 to 62 of the family's 1831-position model. Lineage: Eukaryota; Viridiplantae; Streptophyta; Magnoliopsida; Asterales; Asteraceae. The record is from RNAcentral.
AACUUCCACCUGGCAUACCUCUUCAUUUAUGUGUCAAGACUUGUAUUGUCUUGAGCGUAUUGUGGGUUUCCUGUGUUGCAUACCUAACUGAUGGCAUCGUUUUGAUUGAUUGGAGUCUCUUUUCGUCUUGUGUUGCCUUUGUGAUGCAUGAUGAACUUUGAAACGGCCUCUAUGUUCCACCAUGUUGAUGCUAGUGUUUUGAUGUUGUGGCCCAUUGAGUGUUGCUUGGUUUCGUGGAUACAGAACAUUAUUUGGGCAUAGGGUCACUUGUGACUCUUAUUUUGUCCUUUAUCAGUGUUCUUUAAAACGACGGUUCAUACGCGCCUAGGCUCGUACCUGCGCGAUGUUCUUUGUCGAAAAGGAAUGCUACCUGGUUGAUCCUGCCAGUAGUCAUAUGCUUGUCUCAAAGAUUAAGCCAUGCAUGGGUAA